This 86-nucleotide non-coding RNA is filed under the name Peribacillus simplex. RNAcentral's name for it is "Glycine riboswitch". It matches the Rfam family "Glycine riboswitch aptamer", at positions 9 to 86 of the family's 94-position model. From Rfam's summary of the family: This family represents the bacterial glycine riboswitch. Glycine riboswitches usually consist of two metabolite-binding aptamers domains with similar structures in tandem. The record is from RNAcentral. Lineage: Bacteria; Bacillati; Bacillota; Bacilli; Caryophanales; Bacillaceae.
AUUGUGGGAGAGACUAAACGUUGUUUAGCACCGAAGGAGCAAACCCUAAAAAUUAGGGAACUAAUCUCUCAGGUAAAUGGACUACA